This 274-nucleotide ribosomal RNA is filed under the name uncultured bacterium. Its description in RNAcentral is "partial 16S ribosomal RNA". It matches the Rfam family "Archaeal small subunit ribosomal RNA", at positions 473 to 747 of the family's 1478-position model. The record is from RNAcentral.
AAACCAGCACCUCAAGUGGUCAGGAUGAUUAUUGGGCCUAAAGCAUCCGUAGCCUGCUCUGUAAGUUUUCGGUUAAAUCUGUACGCUCAACGUACAGGCUGCCGGGAAUACUGCAGAGCUAGGGAGUGGGAGAGGUAGACGGUACUCGGGAGGAAGUGGUAAAAUGCUUUGAUCUCUCGAUGACCACCUGUGGCGAAGGCGGUCUACCAGAACACGUCCGACGGUGAGGGAUGAAAGCUGGGGGAGCAAACCGGAGUAGAAACCCGAGUAGUCC